CUGGGGACAGCGGAGAGAUGAUGGUCUGGGAACAUGUGCUGACCUCAGGCCACAUGUUUGCUGACCAUCACCUUUGGGAC
Molecule: microRNA precursor, 80 nt
Filed under: Fukomys damarensis (Damara mole-rat)
Lineage: Eukaryota; Metazoa; Chordata; Mammalia; Rodentia; Bathyergidae
Description: miRNA (ENSFDAG00000020703.1)
Rfam family: mir-654 microRNA precursor family (bases 9-79)
Source: RNAcentral